CGUACUCCCCAGGCGGGGUGCUUAAUGCGUUAGCUACGGCACCGCAGGGGUCAAUGCCCGCGACACCUAGCACCCAUCGUUUACGGCGUGGACUWCCAGGGUAUCUAAUCCUGUUUGCUCCCCACGCUUUCGCGUYUCAGCGUCAGUCGUCGUCCAGGAAGCCGCCUUCGCCACCGGUGUUCCUCUCGAUAUCUACGAAUUUCACCUCUACACCGAGAAUUCCGCUUCCCUCUCCGACACUCAAGCCAAGCAGUUUCGAGUGCACUUCCCAGGUCGAGCCCGGGGCUUUCACACCCGACUUGCCAAGCCGCCUACACGCGCUUUACGCCCAGUAAUUCCGAACAACGUUUGCACCCUCUGUCUUACCGCGGCUGCUGGCACAGAGUUAGCCGGUGCUUGCUAAAGAGGUACCGUCAUCAUGCUGGAUAUUAGCCAACACUUAUUCGUCCCUCUCCACAGAGCUUUACAACCCGAAGGCCUUCAUCACUCACGCGGCGUCGCUGCGUCAGGCUUUCGCCCAUUGCGCAAGAUUCCCCACUGCUGCCUCCCAUAGGAGUCUGGACCGUGUCUCAGUUCCAGUGUGGCUGAUCAUCCUCUCAGACCAGCUACCCGUCUUCGCCUUGGUAGGCCGUUACCCUACCAACUAGCUGAUGGGCCGCAGGCUCCUCCUCAAGCGCCAGCUUUCAUGAAUUGGCCGGCUUUGACCUCAAGUCCUCUCGAACUCGUGGUCUCAUGCGGUAUUAGCCCUCCUUUCGGAAGGUUAUCCCCCACUCGAGGGCAGAUUACCUACGUGUUACUCACCCGUGCGCCGCUUUACCGGGGAUUGCUCCCUUUCUCGCUCGACUUGCAUGUGUUAAGCGCGCCGCUAACGUUCGUUCUGAGCCAGAAUCAAACUCU
RNAcentral lists this ribosomal RNA (897 nucleotides) under uncultured delta proteobacterium. RNAcentral describes it as "partial 16S ribosomal RNA". The record is from RNAcentral. Lineage: Bacteria; Deltaproteobacteria.